Arachis duranensis is the source of this 506-nucleotide long non-coding RNA. RefSeq lists it as uncharacterized. The record is from RefSeq and is a predicted model, not a curated record. Lineage: Eukaryota; Viridiplantae; Streptophyta; Magnoliopsida; Fabales; Fabaceae. The transcript is spliced from 4 exons.
UCUUGAGAGUGGUGAAGUUUUAGCAGUUGAUGUUUCAUGCAUUGUUGCUGUCUUAGUUUGAUUAAGCAUUUCUCUUCUGCUUUGUAAAUAUGAUUAAUUUCACCUCAACCUCAGGUUUUGCUGUUUUUUGAUCUUAGCUCAUUGCAAGCUGCUCUGCCCGAUGCAUAGUUACAACCCACUUUCCAUAGUGGUAUUGCCGAACCAUGGCUUCCUCAAAAUUCAGUUAACUCUUACAUCUCCUCUGCUGGACAAGGUGGUGGUUUGACAUUCUUGGCUGCUCAACCACCAAGUUCUCAAAUAUCAUGCUCGGUAUCCUUUAUGCAAAGGGGGAAGGCCUUCUAUGACUUCCAGUUCACCACAAGGCCUUGUAAAAUCCCCAAGUCUUAUGUACGAUCUAAGGGAAGGAAGUUUGACAGGGCUAGAGGAAGGAGGAAUAACAAAGGACUUAGGGUUUAAGUUGUAUUGUUUCUGUAUUUUACUUCAGUUUUUAGUUUUGGAAUUUGAAC